Molecule: ribosomal RNA, 497 nt
Filed under: uncultured bacterium
Lineage: Bacteria
Description: partial 16S ribosomal RNA
Rfam family: Bacterial small subunit ribosomal RNA
Source: RNAcentral
GAUGAACGCUGGCGGCGUGCUUAAUACAUGCAAGUCGAGCGAACAGACGAGGAGCUUGCUCCUCUGACGGUAGCGGAGGACGGGUGAGUAACACGUGGAUAACCUACCUAUAAUACUGGGACAACUUCGGGAAACCGGAGCUAAUACCGGAUAAUAUAUUGAACCGCAUGGUUCAAUAGUGAAAGACGGUUUUGCUGUCACUCAUAGAUGGUUCCGCGCCGUAUUAGCUAGUUGGUAAGGUAACGGCUUACCAAGGCAACGAUGCGUAGCCGACCGGAGAGGGUGGUCGGCCACACUGGAGCUGAGACGGGGACCAGACUCCUGAGGGAGGGAGCAGUAGGGAAUCUUACGCAAUGGGCGAGAGCCUGACAGAGCAACGGCGCGUGAGUGAUGAAGGUGUUCCGAUCGUGAAACUCUGUUAUUGGGGGAGAACAAAUGUGUAAGUAGAUGUGCAGGUAUUGACGGUACCUGAUCAAAAAGCCACGGCUAACUACGUG